This 200-nucleotide ribosomal RNA is filed under the name uncultured eukaryote. Its description in RNAcentral is "partial 18S ribosomal RNA". It matches the Rfam family "Eukaryotic small subunit ribosomal RNA", at positions 588 to 857 of the family's 1831-position model. The record is from RNAcentral.
GCUCUAAUAGCGUAUAUUAAAGUUGUUGCAGUUAAAAAGCUCGUAGUUAAUGUUUGGGGUGAGCGAUGGAAACGUCGCGGCCCCGCGAUUCGAAAGAAUCCUUACUUUGAGAAAAUUAGAGUGUUCAUAGCAGGCUUUUGCCUAUAUCCAUCAGCAUGGAAUAAAUUUAGACGACGCUGUCUAAACUUGGUCUUUAGCAC